GGCGCACGGGUGAGUAACACGUAGCUAACCUGCCCUCGAGUGGGGGAUAACCUGGGGAAACUCGGGCUAAUACCGCAUAACAUCCCGGUGGCGGAAGUCGCCGGGAGCAAAGGCCCGCAAGGGUCGCUCGUGGAGGGGGCUGCGGCCGAUUAGCUAGUUGGUGAGGUAACGGCCCACCAAGGCGAUGAUCGGUAGCCGGCCUGAGAGGGCGCACGGCCACACUGGCACUGAAACACGGGCCAGACUCCUACGGGAGGCAGCAGUGGGGAAUUUUGCACAAUGCCCGAAAGGGUGAUGCAGCAACGCCGCGUGAGGGAUGAAGGCCUUCGGGUCGUAAACCUCUUUCGACCGGGAAAAACGGGCCGGUGAAUAACCGGUUCUGAUGGUACCGGUGGAAGAAGCCCCGGCUAACUACGUGCCAGCCGCCGCGG
This 431-nucleotide ribosomal RNA is filed under the name uncultured bacterium. RNAcentral describes it as "bacterial SSU rRNA". It matches the Rfam family "Bacterial small subunit ribosomal RNA", at positions 97 to 520 of the family's 1533-position model. The record is from RNAcentral.